AACGAACGCUGGCGGCAUGCCUAACACAUGCAAGUCGAACGAGACCUUCGGGUCUAGUGGCGCACGGGUGCGUAACGCGUGGGAACCUGCCCUUAGGUUCGGAAUAACUCCCCGAAAGGGGUGCUAAUACCGGAUAAUGUCUUCGGACCAAAGAUUUAUCGCCUGUGGAUGGGCCCGCGGUGGAUUAGCUAGUUGGUAGGGUAAAAGCCUACCAAGGCGUCGAUCCGUAGCUGGUCUGAGAGGAUGAUCGGACACACUGGGACUGAGAUACGGCCCAGACUCCUAGGGGAGGCAGCAGUGGGGAAUAUUGUACAAUGGGAGGAAGUCUGAUGCAGCAACGCCGCGUGCGGGAUGAAGGACUUCGGGUUGGAAAACGCUUUCGCCUGUGAAGAAGCGUGAGUGACGGUAAUGGGUAAAGAAGCACCGGCUAAAUACGUG
This 438-nucleotide ribosomal RNA is filed under the name uncultured bacterium. RNAcentral describes it as "partial 16S ribosomal RNA". It matches the Rfam family "Bacterial small subunit ribosomal RNA", at positions 29 to 507 of the family's 1533-position model. The record is from RNAcentral.